ACUCGUAAUUAAAAUCCCUUAAAAUUCUCCAUCCAAUAACACCCCUUUAGUUGUAUUCUAUUUAUAUUACUCCAAAUGGUGUUAUUUUGUGCGUCGUGGGGAUGACCUUUAAUUUACUCACACACAUACAAGCAUCAACUUUCUCCACUCUCCUACUGUACGAUUUUUUGUUUUAUUUAAUACAAAAAAAAUAAAAAAUUUAGAACAAGAGGAUAUAUAUUGACCUCACUCAAAAGCGGAAUUACAUUUAGAUACUGUAGAGGAAAGUUCUAGAAUAUAUCAGAUUUAAUCGUAGCAGUUCAAGCCUUGGCAUCCUCAUCGACGAUCAGAGGAUCGUGUUUUUUGUUCUUGCAGGAUCGUGGUCUAAACGGCCUUGUUUUCUCUCCUCUCUUUGCACGUUUGUUGAAAGUGAAAACACGCGCUGGUAUCUCUCUGACUUCAUUUGGGCUUUUGUCAGAUGAUGUCUACAAACGGGCAUUUUUUUUUCUCUGUAAAUUUUAUCUUCUUAAGAAACAUGAAAAUAAAAUAAACUGUGUUUAUUGACCUUUUUAACCGGUACAUCUUUUGUUUCUUCUCCAGUUCUUUCUCCAUUGCUAAUGGAUUCUAUCUGUAAACACACUUGUAAAAUGAACUUAUUAAUCUAAUGGACUCUAUAUGUAGAUAGAAGAUACUUGAAACAAUAUGUAUUUUCUUUUCACAACAAGAGAUUUGUGAUGUAAAGCCAUCUCCAAAGGCAAGUACUUAACAAAAAUUAUACAGG
This 760-nucleotide long non-coding RNA is filed under the name Capsella rubella. RNAcentral describes it as "long non-coding RNA (CRUB_LNC002618)". Lineage: Eukaryota; Viridiplantae; Streptophyta; Magnoliopsida; Brassicales; Brassicaceae. The record is from RNAcentral.